AGGACAAAAGACUUAGUCCUAACCUUACAGUUAAUUUUUGCUAGGUAUAUACAUGCAAGUUUCCGCACCCCAGUGUAAAUGCCCUAAACCCCUUGCCAAGAUAAAAGGAGCAGGCAUCAGGCACGCCUAAAUCAACUGCAGCCUAAGACGCCUUGCCUUAAGCCACACCCCCACGGGUAUUCAGCAGUAAUUAACAUUAAGCAAUAAGUGUAAACUUGACUUAGCCACAGCAACACCCAGGGUUGGCCAAUCUUGUGCCAGCCGCCGCGGUCAUACAAGAAACCCAAAUUAACUGUCAUCCGGCGUAAAGAGUGGCCUACACACUAUCCCAUCAACUAAGAUUAAAAUGCAACUGAGCCGUCACAAGCCCAAGAUGCACCUAGACUUCCCCCAAAUGAUCUUAGAACCAUCCGAUCCAUCAGUCCCCACGAAAGCUAGGACACAAACUGGGAUUAGAUACCCCACUAUGCCUAGCCCUAAAUCCCAAUGCUUACCCUACCCAAGCAUUCGCCUGAGAACUACGAGCGCAAACGCUUAAAACUCUAAGGACUUGGCGGUGCCCUAAACCCACCUAGAGGAGCCUGUUCUGUAAUCGAUAAUCCACGAUACACCCAACCACCUCUUGCCAAAGCAGCCUACAUACCGCCGUCGCCAGCUCACCUCCACCUGAAAGCAUAAUAGUGAGCACAAUAGCCAACCCCGCUAAAAAGACAGGUCAAGGUAUAGCCAAUGAGAUGGAAGAAAUGGGCUACAUUUUCUAACAUAGAACACAACGAAAAGAGGUAUGAAACUCCCUCUCGAAGGCGGAUUUAGCAGUAAAGUCGGAUAAUCCAAGCCCCCUUUAAACUGGCCCUAGGGCACGUACAUACCGCCCGUCACCCUCCUCAUAAGCCCCAAACCUAUAUAACUAAUACCCCACAUAAGCUGAAGAUGAGGUAAGUCGUAACAAGGUAAGUGUACCGGAAGGUGCACUUAGCAUACCAAGACG
RNAcentral lists this non-coding RNA (988 nucleotides) under Leptosomus discolor (cuckoo roller). RNAcentral describes it as "Bacterial small subunit ribosomal RNA". It matches the Rfam family "Bacterial small subunit ribosomal RNA". Lineage: Eukaryota; Metazoa; Chordata; Aves; Leptosomiformes; Leptosomidae. The record is from Rfam by way of RNAcentral.